GAAUGGCACCACGAGGGUUAUACUGUCUCCUUUUUCCAAUCAGUGAAACUAAUCUCCCCGUGAAGAAGCGGGGAUGAAAAUAUAAGACGAGAAGACCCUAUGGAGCUUUAAACUUAAUAGCAAAUACUAUCAUUUAUUAAACUCUCAGAACAUAAACCUUUAUUUCAGUAUUAUGACUAUUAGUUUUAGGUUGGGGUGACCGCGGAGCAAAAAUUAACCUCCACAUUGAACGGGACUUAGCCCUGAGCAAAAAGCCACGACUUUAAGCACCAACAAAUUGACAUUAAUUGACCCAAUAUUUUGAUCAACGAACCAAGUUACCCUAGGGAUAACAGCGCAAUCCACUUCAAGAGCUCCUAUCGACAAGUGG
This 370-nucleotide ribosomal RNA is filed under the name Trachycephalus mesophaeus (Porto Alegre golden-eyed treefrog). Its description in RNAcentral is "partial 16S ribosomal RNA". It matches the Rfam family "Bacterial large subunit ribosomal RNA", at positions 1994 to 2515 of the family's 2925-position model. Lineage: Eukaryota; Metazoa; Chordata; Amphibia; Anura; Hylidae. The record is from RNAcentral.